AACGAACGCUGGCGGCAUGCCUAACACAUGCAAGUCGAACGAGACCUUCGGGUCUAGUGGCGCACGGGUGCGUAACGCGUGGGAACCUGCCCUUAGGUUCGGAAUAACUCCCCGAAAGGGGUGCUAAUACCGGAUAAUGUCUUCGGACCAAAGAUUUAUCGCCUUUGGAUGGGCCCGCGUUGGAUUAGCUAGUUGGUAGGGUAAAAGCCUACCAAGGCGACGAUCCAUAGCUGGUCUGAGAGGAUGAUCAGCCACACUGGGACUGAGACACGGCCCAGACUCCUACGGGAGGCAGCAGUGGGGAAUAUUGGACAAGGGGCGAAAGCCUGAUCAAGCAAUGCCGCGUGAGUGAUGAAGGCCUUAGGGUUGUAAAGCUCUUUUACCCGGGAUGAUAAUGACAGUACCGGGAGAAUAAGCUCCGGCUAACUCCGUG
Molecule: ribosomal RNA, 433 nt
Filed under: uncultured bacterium
Lineage: Bacteria
Description: partial 16S ribosomal RNA
Rfam family: Bacterial small subunit ribosomal RNA
Source: RNAcentral